AGUACGCGUGGAUAUCUGCCUUUUGGUUCGGAAUAACCCCGGGAAACUGGGGCUAAUACCGGAUGGUUCCUACGGGAUAAAGGUUUAUCGCCAAAAGAUGAGUCCGCGUCCGAUUAGCUAGUUGGUGAGGUAACGGCUCACCAAGGCGACGAUCGGUAGCUGGUCUGAGAGGACGAUCAGCCACACUGGGACUGAGACACGGCCCAGACUCCUACGGGAGGCAGCAGUGGGGAAUAUUGGACAAUGGGGGCAACCCUGAUCCAGCCAUGCCGCGUGAGUGAUGAAGGCCUUCGGGUUGUAAAGCUCUUUUGGCGGGGACGAUGAUGACGGUACCCGCAGAAUAAGCCCCGGCUAACUUCGUGCCAGCAGCCGCGGUAAGACGAAGGGGGCUAGCGUUGUUCGGAAUUACUGGGCGUAAAGCGCGUGUAGGCGGUUGUUCAAGUUGGAUGUGAAAGCCU
Molecule: ribosomal RNA, 458 nt
Filed under: Azospirillum sp. Is-B008
Lineage: Bacteria; Pseudomonadati; Pseudomonadota; Alphaproteobacteria; Rhodospirillales; Azospirillaceae
Description: bacterial SSU rRNA
Rfam family: Bacterial small subunit ribosomal RNA
Source: RNAcentral